This 265-nucleotide ribosomal RNA is filed under the name uncultured Staphylococcus sp. RNAcentral's name for it is "partial 16S ribosomal RNA". It matches the Rfam family "Bacterial small subunit ribosomal RNA", at positions 96 to 354 of the family's 1533-position model. Lineage: Bacteria; Bacillati; Bacillota; Bacilli; Caryophanales; Staphylococcaceae. The record is from RNAcentral.
CGGCGGACGGGUGAGUAACACGUGGGUAACCUACCUAUAAGACUGGGACAACUUCGGGAAACCGGAGCUAAUACCGGAUAAGAUAUCGAACCGCAUGGUUCGAUAGUGAAAGAUGGUUUUGCUAUCACUUAUAGAUGGACCCGCGCCGUAUUAGCUAGUUGGUGAGGUAACGGCUCACCAAGGCAACGAUACGUAGCCGACCUGAGAGGGUGAUCGGCCACACUGGAACUGAGACACGGUCAGACUCCUACGGGAGGCAGCAGGU